This 91-nucleotide transfer RNA is filed under the name Vibrio alginolyticus. RNAcentral describes it as "tRNA-Ser". It matches the Rfam family "tRNA". From Rfam's summary of the family: Transfer RNA (tRNA) molecules are approximately 80 nucleotides in length. The record is from RNAcentral. RNAcentral also lists the same sequence under 300 other names. Lineage: Bacteria; Pseudomonadati; Pseudomonadota; Gammaproteobacteria; Vibrionales; Vibrionaceae.
GGAAGGAUGGCUGAGUGGCUUAAGGCGCUCGCCUGGAAAGCGAGUAUACGUUUAUAGCGUAUCUGGGGUUCAAAUCCCCAUCCUUCCACCA